This 253-nucleotide ribosomal RNA is filed under the name uncultured bacterium. Its description in RNAcentral is "partial 16S ribosomal RNA". It matches the Rfam family "Bacterial small subunit ribosomal RNA", at positions 524 to 776 of the family's 1533-position model. The record is from RNAcentral.
UACGUAGGGUGCAAGCGUUGUCCGGAAUUAUUGGGCGUAAAGAGCUCGUAGGCGGUCUGUCGCGUCGGAUGUGAAAACCCAGGGCUCAACCCUGGGCCUGCAUUCGAUACGGGCAGACUAGAGUUCGGUAGGGGAGACUGGAAUUCCUGGUGUAGCGGUGAAAUGCGCAGAUAUCAGGAGGAACACCAAUGGCGAAGGCAGCACUCUGGGACGUGACUGACGCUGAGACGCGAAAGCGUGGGGAGCAAACAGG